GUCUUCUGAAUCCGUGCUGUGAUUUCGUCAAACACCAACACAAUAGAGCUCAUGACACUUACAAGAUAAGUGAAGAG
This 77-nucleotide microRNA precursor is filed under the name Schistosoma curassoni. Its description in RNAcentral is "mir-3492 microRNA precursor family". It matches the Rfam family "mir-3492 microRNA precursor family". Lineage: Eukaryota; Metazoa; Platyhelminthes; Trematoda; Strigeidida; Schistosomatidae. The record is from Rfam by way of RNAcentral.